Molecule: ribosomal RNA, 492 nt
Filed under: uncultured bacterium
Lineage: Bacteria
Description: partial 16S ribosomal RNA
Rfam family: Bacterial small subunit ribosomal RNA
Source: RNAcentral
AGUGAACGCUGGCGGUAGGCCUAACACAUGCAAGUCGAACGGCAGCACAGUAAGAGCUUGCUCUUACGGGUGGCGAGUGGCGGACGGGUGAGGAAUACAUCGGAAUCUACUUUUUCGUGGGGGAUAACGUAGGGAAACUUACGCUAAUACCGCAUACGACCUACGGGUGAAAGCAGGGGAUCUUCGGACCUUGCGCGAUUGAAUGAGCCGAUGUCGGAUUAGCUAGUUGGCGGGGUAAAGGCCCACCAAGGCGGCGAUCCGUAGCUGGUCUGAGAGGAUGAUCAGCCACACUGGAACUGGGACACGGUCCAGACUCCUACGGGAGGCAGCAGUGGGGAAUAUUGGACAAUGGGCGCAAGCCUGAUCCAGCCAUACCGCGUGGGUGAAGAAGGCCUUCGGGUUGUAAAGCCCUUUUGUUGGGAAAGAAAAGCAGCAGGUUAAUACCCCGCUGUUCUGACGGUACCCAAAGAAUAAGCACCGGCUAACUUCGUG